This 65-nucleotide transfer RNA is filed under the name Melanosuchus niger (black caiman). Its description in RNAcentral is "tRNA-Ser". The record is from RNAcentral. Lineage: Eukaryota; Metazoa; Chordata; Crocodylia; Alligatoridae.
UGAGGUGGGAUUUUCACAAAAGAGCUGCUAACUCCUCUACCCAGGUUUAAUCGUCCUGGCCUCCU